UUGAGCCACUGAUAUACAGGCUAACGCAGUUAUCAGUGCAGUCUAAUGCGGUUAUUAGAGAGAGGGAGAGAGAGAUUAAGUGCGUGUGAAUACCUGCGUCUAUGCGUCUCUCAGCAGCG
This is a long non-coding RNA of Sinocyclocheilus anshuiensis, 119 nucleotides long. RefSeq lists it as uncharacterized. The record is from RefSeq and is a predicted model, not a curated record. Lineage: Eukaryota; Metazoa; Chordata; Actinopteri; Cypriniformes; Cyprinidae. The transcript has 3 exons.